This 2090-nucleotide long non-coding RNA is filed under the name Gallus gallus (chicken). Its description in RNAcentral is "lncRNA (ENSGALG00010002230.1)". Lineage: Eukaryota; Metazoa; Chordata; Aves; Galliformes; Phasianidae. The record is from RNAcentral.
UGAUGGAUGUCAGUGGGUGCAAUUAUUUCUUUUCACGUGAAGGAAUUCAGCAACACAGCUUUGCUUCAUACACACUUCCAUGUCAGACACCAUUUUGUCAGAUUGCCCCUCUGCUGCCAUCUGUCACAUGGCAACAAAACAGAAUACUGGUGGGAAGUUUCAAGGUCUACUGCUACACCACUAACAUCUGCCUCUGUCAUCAUGGGCUGACAUAAUAAAAUAGGGGGCAUUACUUUCAGAGAAGCCCUCAUAUUUAUUAAUACCACAUUUAUAUCACUUCAACAUUAGCAAUAGCAAUAGCUUUAUGAGUGUUUUUUUUUUUAUGUCAACAAAACUAAUCUUCAAAUUUGUGUUUUGCACUUUUGAAGUGCUAAAGCAGCUCAUUUUAAUCUAAUGAAUUAAUGCCAUGAAAACUGUUUGUCCUCUUUUACGCCAAAGCUAAACCAUUGCAUACUAUCCUACAUUCAUUUCUAUUACACAAAUUGCAAACCUCUUCUAGAACUGACUUUAUGUUCUUAAAUGCUUUAAUGCAGACAACAAUACUUUAUUUAAUCAUAAAUAUUACGAAGAUGCCUAUGAGGGGUAGUUAGAUGCUGUUUCACAACAUAGACAUAGCCUUCUGUUUAGCAAUCUAAUAGAGGUUUGCAAGCAUAUAUUAAUUAAGCAUCAGAAGGCCCCUUUGAGGGAGAUAUGGUAAGGAGCAUUAUCCUUGUUAUACAAAUAAUAAAGAGGUUUCAACUUGCUGAAAGUUACACAGUAAUCUAGUUCUAGACAUGGAAUUAGAAAUUAAUUGCCCUGUGCUCUAAUGAUUCUUCUACUAUCCAAAAUUGUAUGGUGGUGAUAAUAAAUAACAAACUAAAUACACAAUGAAUAGAGGAUAUUGUGGAACAAUCUGAUUGUUAGUAUCUGUCCUUGGCUGCUUCAUAGCGGAGAGGUUAAUUCAAAUGUGGUGCUUUGGGUAACAAACACCAAUAAGGAAUAAAUUCCUUUCUCAGUAUGUGUUUGCAAGUCUCAUUAAUGAUAAUGGAAGUUAUGUGCCUGCAGGAGAAUGAAAGGAGAAGGCAUCUAUCAUGUCAAUGACCCAUGAAGUAAGAAGAAAUUAUAUAGUCUACCAUAAAGACACUGAAGGAGUCAUUAUAGCCUAUUAGACCCGGUCCUGCAGAUAUACCCUUAUACCCUUCGUUAAAGGAAGAGACUUGGCCCAAAGAACUACUUUUCCUUGGUGGAUGUCAUCUGUCUGCUCAGAACUGGUUUCCUUGCUGCCUUUUCUCACAGCCCUUCUGAUUGUUUUGGGUUUUACUUCAUGGCUACCUAAACUUUACAAAGCAACAGCCAAUGAAAUUCUUCAAUUUUGGUGGGCCAAGUGAAGCCAUUUCUUUCUGAUUUUUUUCCCCCCAAGAAGAUUUCUGAAAGAUCUGAAUAGUCUAUAGAAAAGUCUUUGUUACAUAGUCUUUGCUAUCAAAGUCUUUGAUACCCAUAAAUUCACAUUGCAAAAUAUAUAUAUAUAUAUAUUUUGGGGAAAAAAAGAUUUUCACAACAUUAGUUUUAUUUCUUUACUUAGCUAUUAUUAAAUAAUACUAAAGCACAAUACAAUAAUAAUAGAAAAAGGAAAGAUUUCUUAUCUGUGUUGAUGACUGGAUAGCCUUUAGCAAAUGUUUCACUGCUCUAGUCACAGCCUUUCAUUAAGGGUUCUGGGCAAAGAUACAAUACUAAUUUUUCAAGUAUGCUCUGCAAUCAUUUAAAUAUCAUUAAAUGUAAUAAAAAUGUAAACAAUGAAGCAUGACAAUCUAAACCCUUUAUUUUCUGUAUUCUAUGAUCACAGCAAGGGAGAUGACUUUCUGGUGCUCUAUGGAAAGUAGCACGCAUUUACAGUGUGAAAUAUAGACAUUGUUUUAAUAUGUGCUGACAUUUUUUGAACUUUCAUAUUCUUUUGGACCACAAAAAUUCACUGUGAUACCAUUCUAUUCAAAUAAUAAGAUGCCAUGUGGUUGGGAUAUUAAUUACAUAGCACUUCUCUUUGAUAUCAAAUAUUGAUAAGCUUCCUUUAAAGUCCACAUCAUCUUUAUUUUAAUCCAUUUAUUAGGCAGCAG